Molecule: transfer RNA, 73 nt
Filed under: Thermoleophilaceae bacterium
Lineage: Bacteria; Bacillati; Actinomycetota; Thermoleophilia; Thermoleophilales; Thermoleophilaceae
Also listed under: 1 other name
Description: tRNA-Ile
Rfam family: tRNA
About the family: Transfer RNA (tRNA) molecules are approximately 80 nucleotides in length. Their secondary structure includes four short double-helical elements and three loops (D, anti-codon, and T loops). Further hydrogen bonds mediate the characteristic L-shaped molecular structure. tRNAs have two regions of fundamental functional importance: the anti-codon, which is responsible for specific mRNA codon recognition, and the 3' end, to which the tRNAs corresponding amino acid is attached (by aminoacyl-tRNA synthetases). tRNAs cope with the degeneracy of the genetic code in two manners: having more than one tRNA (with a specific anti-codon) for a particular amino acid; and 'wobble' base-pairing, i.e. permitting non-standard base-pairing at the 3rd anti-codon position.
Source: RNAcentral
GGGCCGGUAGCUCAGCGGUUAGAGCAGCGGACUCAUAAUCCGUCGGUCCCAGGUUCGAAUCCUGGCCGGCCCA